AUGAACUAUCUGGAGAUCCUGAUCAGUGGUGGCAACUGGUUUUUGUACAGCCCUGUGUCACUGUGGAAUGUCUUCGGUGGAGGAACCCAGCUGACCGACCUUGGUCAGCCAAAGGCAUCUCCUACCGUGCACCUCUUCCCUCCAUCCUCGGAAGAGAUAAAAACAAAGAGCAAAGCCACAUUGGUGUGUCUGCUGGGCAGCUUUUACCCAGGGGCAGUCCAAGUGACCUGGAAAGCUGAUGGCCAGCAGAUCUCCACUGGAGUGGAGACGACCAAACCCUCCAAACAGAGUGACAACAAGUACAUGGCCAGCAGUUACCUGUCUCUGGAUGCAUCAAAGUGGAAGACCCAUGAGACCUAUACCUGCCAGGUGACACACGAUGGGAAGAACUUCGAGAAGUCACUGAAGAGCUCAGAGUGUUCUUAA
Molecule: non-coding RNA, 426 nt
Organism: Malaclemys terrapin pileata
Lineage: Eukaryota; Metazoa; Chordata; Testudines; Emydidae
Source: the annotation of a RefSeq genome assembly